AACACAGCUCCCUGCGAACUCGCAAGAGGAUGUAUAGGGGGUGAUGCCUGACCAAUGCCAGAAGGUCAAAUAUGGGAGGUGAGAGCCGCAAGGUUUUAGCUUGACUAUAUAAGCCCUGGUGAAUGUCGGCCGUAACUAUAGAAAUCAAUACUAUAAUUGUUGUAGUUACGUUAAAAAAUCUUGCCAAAUGCUGGAAACUC
RNAcentral lists this ribosomal RNA (200 nucleotides) under Candidatus Zambryskibacteria bacterium RIFCSPHIGHO2_12_FULL_38_37. RNAcentral's name for it is "partial 23S ribosomal RNA". It matches the Rfam family "Bacterial large subunit ribosomal RNA", at positions 1812 to 1982 of the family's 2925-position model. Lineage: Bacteria; Candidatus Zambryskiibacteriota. The record is from RNAcentral.